Molecule: small nucleolar RNA, 70 nt
Organism: Topomyia yanbarensis
Lineage: Eukaryota; Metazoa; Arthropoda; Insecta; Diptera; Culicidae
Product: small nucleolar RNA U18
Exons: 1
Source: RefSeq, a predicted model, not a curated record
ACAAUGAUGAAAAUUUUGGUCCGUGUUUAUGAUAUUCUUUGAUUAUUUCUCUUAACCAUUACUGAAACAA